Small nucleolar RNA from Grammomys surdaster, 134 nucleotides. RefSeq annotates it as small nucleolar RNA SNORA17. NCBI's taxonomy places the organism in Eukaryota, Metazoa, Chordata, Mammalia, Rodentia, Muridae. The record is from RefSeq and is a predicted model, not a curated record. The transcript has a single exon.
ACUGCCCCUAGAGACAUUGCAGGUGUGACUGCCAUGUCACAUGAUGUUAGUAGGUGGUAGAGAGGAGAGAGGCUAUGUCUAUGCUCGGUGUUCUGACCUAUGAACAUCUAAAUGAUUAGUAGUAGCUUAACAUU